AUGGGCGACCUGGCAGGCAGAGACUGCCGGGAGGAGGCGGCAGCGCCGGCGCCGGCGCCGGCCGUAGGCGGGCCCGACCACCUGGUGAUCAUGGUCCACGGGAUCGUCGGGAGCACAGCCGAUUGGAAAUAUGGAGCUGAGCAAUUCCAUAAGUUGCUAGAAGACAGAGUCAUAGUUCAUUGUAGUAACAGCAACAUGCACAAGCUAACUUUAGAUGGCAUUGAUGUGAUGGGUGAACGGUUGGCACAAGAGGUUAUCGAAGAAAUCAACAAAAGACCACAGAUAACAAAGAUAUCUUUUGUUGCGCAUUCCGUUGGAGGAUUGGUUGCAAGAUAUGCUAUCGGAAGACUUUAUAGGCCUCCUGGACAAUCACUUGAAAAUUCUCCUCAAAGUUUGACAGACAGCAACAGAGGCAAUAUACAUGGGCUUGAUGCAGUCAACUUCAUAACUGUUGCAUCACCACAUCUUGGUUCUAGAGGAAACAAGCAGGUUCCUUUCCUUUUUGGAGUUACUGCGAUAGAAAAGUUUGCGUGCUGCAUCAUUCACUUCAUAUUCAGAAGAACUGGCAAGCACCUAUUUCUUACUGAUAAUGAUGAUGGAAAGCCUCCGUUGUUGCAACUUAUGGUGGAUGAUUGUGAGGACCUACGGUUCAUAUCCGCUUUGCAAGCAUUUCAGCGAAGAGUUGCAUACUCCAAUGUUGGUUACGACCACAUUGUUGGAUGGAGGACAUCAUCAAUCAGGGGGGCCUCCGAACUACCCAAGUGGGUUGAUUCGACAAGCAAGAUUUAUCCACAUAUUGUAUACGAGGAACUAUCCAAAGCAGAAACUCUUGAUCAAUGUGCUGAUGUUGCUGAUAUGGACAAGGAUAACUGCACUCUCGAAGAACGGCUUUUGAGAGGACUUAAGCGUGUGUCAUGGGAAAAGGUGGACGUCAGCUUCCAUAAUAGCAAAGCAAGAUCUGCUGCACACAGUGUAAUUCAGGUUAAAGAUCCUGUCGUCCAUAGCGAAGGUGCCGAUGUCAUAAAGCAUAUGAUCGACCAUUUCGUUACCUAG
RNAcentral lists this ribosomal RNA (1053 nucleotides) under Triticum aestivum (bread wheat). RNAcentral's name for it is "partial small subunit ribosomal RNA". The record is from RNAcentral. Lineage: Eukaryota; Viridiplantae; Streptophyta; Magnoliopsida; Poales; Poaceae.